GAUGAACGCUGGCGGCGUGCCUAAUACAUGCAAGUCGAGCGAACGGACGAGAAGCUUGCUUCUCUGAUGUUAGCGGCGGACGGGUGAGUAACACGUGGAUAACCUACCUAUAAGACUGGGAUAACUUCGGGAAACCGUAGCUAAUACCGGAUAAUAUUUUGAACCGCAUGGUUCAAAAGUGAAAGACGGUCUUGCUGUCACUUAUAGAUGGAUCCGCGCUGCAUUAGCUAGUUGGUAAGGUAACGGCUUACCAAGGCAACGAUGCAUAGCCGACCUGAGAGGGUGAUCGGCCACACUGGAACUGAGACACGGUCCAGACUCCUACGGGAGGCAGCAGUAGGGAAUCUUCCGCAAUGGGCGAAAGCCUGACGGAGCAACGCCGCGUGAGUGAUGAAGGUCUUCGGAUCGUAAAACUCUGUUAUUAGGGAAGAACAUAUGUGUAAGUAACUGUGCACAUCUUGACGGUACCUAAUCAGAAAGCCACGGCUAACUACGUGCCAGCAGCCGCGGUAAUACGUAGGUGGCAAGCGUUAUCCGGAAUUAUUGGGCGUAAAGCGCGCGUAGGCGGUUUUUUAGUCUGAUGUGAAAGCCCACGGCUCAACCGUGGAGGGUCAUUGGAAACUGGAAAACUUGAGUGCAGAAGAGGAAAGUGGAAUUCCAUGUGUAGCGGUGAAAUGCGCAGAGAUAUGGAGGAACACCAGUGGCGAAGGCGACUUUCUGGUCUGUAACUGACGCUGAUGUGCGAAAGCGUGGGGAUCAAACAGGAUUAGAUACCCUGGUAGUCCACGCCGUAAACGAUGAGUGCUAAGUGUUAGGGGGUUUCCGCCCCUUAGUGCUGCAGCUAACGCAUUAAGCACUCCGCCUGGGGAGUACGACCGCAAGGUUGAAACUCAAAGGAAUUGACGGGGACCCGCACAAGCGGUGGAGCAUGUGGUUUAAUUCGAAGCAACGCGAAGAACCUUACCAAAUCUUGACAUCCUUUGACAACUCUAGAGAUAGAGCUUUCCCCUUCGGGGGACAAAGUGACAGGUGGUGCAUGGUUGUCGUCAGCUCGUGUCGUGAGAUGUUGGGUUAAGUCCCGCAACGAGCGCAACCCUUAAGCUUAGUUGCCAUCAUUAAGUUGGGCACUCUAAGUUGACUGCCGGUGGCAAACCGGAGGAAGGUGGGGGUGACGUCAAAUCAUCAUGCCCCUUAUGAUUUGGGCUACACACGUGCUACAAUGGACAAUACAAAGGGCAGCGAAACCGUGAGGUCAAGCAAAUCCCAUAAAGUUGUUCUCAGUUCGGAUUGUAGUCUGCAACUCGACUACAUGAAGCUGGAAUCGCUAGUAAUCGUAGAUCAGCAUGCUACGGUGAAUACGUUCCCGGGUCU
Molecule: ribosomal RNA, 1371 nt
Filed under: uncultured bacterium
Lineage: Bacteria
Description: bacterial SSU rRNA
Rfam family: Bacterial small subunit ribosomal RNA
Source: RNAcentral